AAUCCGUGUUGUUGACAUGAACUAACAAGAUCCUUGAACCACUCCCAACAUUGGAAGAAUGUUUCAUCCAGCUUUUGGGCAAAGUUCAUGAUUGACUUUCUAAGGGU
Small nucleolar RNA from Magnolia sinica, 107 nucleotides. The record is from RefSeq and is a predicted model, not a curated record. Lineage: Eukaryota; Viridiplantae; Streptophyta; Magnoliopsida; Magnoliales; Magnoliaceae.